RNAcentral lists this ribosomal RNA (253 nucleotides) under uncultured bacterium. RNAcentral describes it as "partial 16S ribosomal RNA". It matches the Rfam family "Bacterial small subunit ribosomal RNA", at positions 524 to 776 of the family's 1533-position model. The record is from RNAcentral.
UACAGGGGGGGCAAGCGUUGUUCGGAAUUACUGGGCGUAAAGGGCUCGUAGGCGGCCAACUAAGUCCGACGUGAAAUCCCAAGGCUUAACCUUGGAACUGCGUCGGAUACUGGUUGGCUUGAAUUCGGGAGAGGGAUGCAGAAUUCCAGGUGUAGCGGUGAAAUGCGUAGAUAUCUGGAGGAAAACCGGGGGCGAAGGCGGCAUCCUGGACCGACAUUGACGCUGAUGAGCGAAAGCUAGGGGAGCAAACGGG